UGGGCGUAGAGGGCUCGCAGGCGGUUUCUUAAGUCUGAUGUGAAAGCCCCCGGCUCAACCGGGGAGGGUCAUUGGAAACUGGGGAACUUGAGUGCAGAAGAGGAGAGUGGAAUUCCACGUGUAGCGGUGAAAUGCGUAGAGAUGUGGAGGAACACCAGUGGCGAAGGCGACUCUCUGGUCUGUAACUGACGCUGAGGAGCGAAAGCGUGGGGAGCGAACAGGAUUAGAUACCCUGGUAGUCCACGCCGUAAACGAUGAGUGCUAAGUGUUAGGGGGUUUCCGCCCCUUAGUGCUGCAGCUAACGCAUUAAGCACUCCGCCUGGGGAGUACGGUCGCAAGACUGAAACUCAAAGGAAUUGACGGGGGCCCGCACAAGCGGUGGAGCAUGUGGUUUAAUUCGAAGCAACGCGAAGAACCUUACCAGGUCUUGACAUCCUCUGACAAUCCUAGAGAUAGGACGUCCCCUUCGGGGGCAGAGUGACAGGUGGUGCAUGGUUGUCGUCAGCUCGUGUCGUGAGAUGUUGGGUUAAGUCCCGCAACGAGCGCAACCCUUGAUCUUAGUUGCCAGCAUUCAGUUGGGCACUCUAAGGUGACUGCCGGUGACAAACCGGAGGAAGGUGGGGAUGACGUCAAAUCAUCAUGCCCCUUAUGACCUGGGCUACACACGUGC
This 670-nucleotide ribosomal RNA is filed under the name Bacillus subtilis. RNAcentral describes it as "bacterial SSU rRNA". It matches the Rfam family "Bacterial small subunit ribosomal RNA", at positions 555 to 1225 of the family's 1533-position model. Lineage: Bacteria; Bacillati; Bacillota; Bacilli; Caryophanales; Bacillaceae. The record is from RNAcentral.